This 388-nucleotide ribosomal RNA is filed under the name uncultured bacterium. RNAcentral describes it as "bacterial SSU rRNA". It matches the Rfam family "Bacterial small subunit ribosomal RNA", at positions 30 to 417 of the family's 1533-position model. The record is from RNAcentral.
AUUGAACGCUGGCGGCAUGCCUUACACAUGCAAGUCGAACGGCAGCACGGGAGCAAUCCUGGUGGCGAGUGGCGAACGGGUGAGUAAUAUAUCGGAACGUGCCCAGUCGUGGGGAUAACGUAGAGAAAUUUACGCUAAUACCGCAUACGAUCUAAGGAUGAAAGCGGGGGGACCGUAAGGCCUCGCGCGAUUGGAGCGGCUGAUAUCAGAUUAGGUUGUUGGUGAGGUAAAAAGCUCACCAAGCCGACGAUCUGUAGCUGGUUUGAGAGAACGACCAGCCACACUGGGACUGAGACACGGCCCAGACUCCUACGGGAGGCAGCAGUGGGGAAUUUUGGACAAUGGGCGAAAGCCUGAUCCAGCAAUGCCGCGUGCAGGAAGAAGGCCU